AGAGAAUAACGUAUCUGGGUCCCCCUUUUAUAGGCGGAGGAGGUAACGGAUUGAUGGCGACGUCUGUAACCGUCUGAUCGUGGGCUGCCCAUGGUCAGAGGAAUUUAUUGCGAAGGGUAAUGGAGUAGACCCGUGGCUAUUAUCAUAGUCUGCCACGUAGGGCGUGUUGCAGGUAGUGGAGCGGCAUCCGUUGCCGCUAGUUGUCAGCGAGUAGUGGAGUCGUG
This 224-nucleotide long non-coding RNA is filed under the name Elaeis guineensis (African oil palm). Its description in RNAcentral is "long non-coding RNA (EGUI_LNC067887)". The record is from RNAcentral. Lineage: Eukaryota; Viridiplantae; Streptophyta; Magnoliopsida; Arecales; Arecaceae.